RNAcentral lists this ribosomal RNA (476 nucleotides) under Sueus niisimai. RNAcentral describes it as "SSU rRNA". It matches the Rfam family "Eukaryotic small subunit ribosomal RNA", at positions 1233 to 1667 of the family's 1831-position model. The record is from RNAcentral. Lineage: Eukaryota; Metazoa; Arthropoda; Insecta; Coleoptera; Curculionidae.
GGNAGGAUUGACAGAUUGAGAGCUCUUUCUUGAUUCGGUGGGUGGUGGUGCAUGGCCGUUCUUAGUUGGUGGAGCGAUUUGUCUGGUUAAUUCCGAUAACGAACGAGACUCUAGCCUGCUAACUAGGCGUAUUUCGACAUCCUAAAGGCCAGCCGGCUUUCGGCGGGGUUCCGGCUCCGGCGUUGUCGCGCUCGGUUUUUACUGUCGGCGUACAAACAAUUCUUCUUAGAGGGACAGGCGGCUUCUAGCCGCACGAGAUUGAGUAAUAACAGGUCUGUGAUGCCCUUAGAUGUUCUGGGCCGCACGCGCGCUACACUGAAGGAAUCAGCGUGUCCUCCCUGGCCGAGCGGCCCGGGUAACCCGCUGAACCUCCUUCGUGCUAGGGAUUGGGGCUUGCAAUUGUUCCCCAUGAACGAGGAAUUCCCAGUAAGCGCGAGUCAUAAGCUCGCGUUGAUUAAGUUCCUGCCCUUUUACAC